AUGACUCCCCAGAGAAGAAGAGUACACGGGUAUGAGUAUAGCCUUCCCAUACCGGGUUCGUGGGUACCUAUUGCCGUGUUGAAGUGGGGUGACGACAUUGCAGUGACAUCCCAUGGUUUCUUCAUGCUCGACGGUGUCUUGCUCUGCACUGCACUCUGCUUUUUUAGCUUUGCCCUCUUUGUUUCUUUUUGUGAGGACUGUCUGAUUUUCUUUUAUCUGCUUUCUAAGAUAAUUUCAUCGACGCUUUCUAUCAUUUGGCUGUGUGGCUUUAUUUAUAAAGCGGGGUGCAAAUCUGUUUCGAGAAAUUCAGUUUCCAUAUUAGUCUUUUACUAA
Molecule: ribosomal RNA, 333 nt
Filed under: Triticum aestivum (bread wheat)
Lineage: Eukaryota; Viridiplantae; Streptophyta; Magnoliopsida; Poales; Poaceae
Description: partial small subunit ribosomal RNA
Source: RNAcentral